RNAcentral lists this unclassified non-coding RNA (386 nucleotides) under soil metagenome. RNAcentral's name for it is "partial contains 5.8S ribosomal RNA, internal transcribed spacer 2, and large subunit ribosomal RNA". The stretch from base 2 to 121 matches the Rfam family "5.8S ribosomal RNA", at positions 35 to 154 of the family's 154-position model. The record is from RNAcentral.
GGAUGAAGAACGUAGCGAAACGCGAUAGGUAAUGUGAAUUGCAGAAUUCCGUGAAUCAUCGAAUCUUUGAACGCACAUUGCGCCUGCUGGUAUUCCGGUAGGCAUGCCUGUUUGAGCGUCAGCAAAAACUCUCAGCUGAAAUUUAUUUUUCUGGCUGGUUAUGGGUGUUUGGAGGAAACUUGGUCCUUUGUGUCCAGCUCCCGCCUUAAACUUGCUGCACGACCGCAAGCUAAUGCUAGGUUAAUGGAGUGGUAUUUUCUUAUAAUUCCAGCAACUGUUCAUAGCUUCCGCGGCGUUAAACCUGAUGUUGCUUAACUGCGACUGAAGUUUGACCUCAAAUCAGACAAGGAUACCCGCUGAACUUAAGCAUAUCAAUAAGCGGAGGA